GACGAACGCUGGCGGCGUGCCUAAUACAUGCAAGUAGAACGCUGAAGAGAGGAGCUUACUCUUCUUGGAUGAGUUGCGAACGGGUGAGUAACGCGUAGGUAACCUGCCUUGUAGUGGGGGAUAACUAUUGGAAACGAUAGCUAAUACCGCAUAACAAUGGAUGACACAUGUCAUUUAUUUGAAAGGGGCAAUUGCUCCACUACAAGAUGGACCUGCGUUGUAUUAGCUAGUAGGUGAGGUAAUGGCUCACCUAGGCGACGAUACAUAGCCGACCUGAGAGGGUGAUCGGCCACACUGGGACUGAGACACGGCCCAGACUCCUACGGGAGGCAGCAGUAGGGAAUCUUCGGCAAUGGGGGCAACCCUGACCGAGCAACGCCGCGUGAGUGAAGAAGGUUUUCGGAUCGUAAAGCUCUGUUGUAAGUCAAGAACGGGUGUGAGAGUGGAAAGUUCACACUGUGACGGUAGCUUACCAGAAAGGGACGGCUAACUACGUG
This 497-nucleotide ribosomal RNA is filed under the name uncultured bacterium. RNAcentral describes it as "partial 16S ribosomal RNA". It matches the Rfam family "Bacterial small subunit ribosomal RNA", at positions 28 to 507 of the family's 1533-position model. The record is from RNAcentral.